CCUACGGGUGGCUGCAGUGGGGAAUAUUGCACAAUGGGCGAAAGCCUGAUGCAGCGACGCCGCGUGGAGGAUGAAGGCCUUCGGGUCGUAAACUCCUGUCUGGGGGGAUGAAUUUUUGACAGUACCCCCGGAGGAAGCCCCGGCUAACUACGUGCCAGCAGCCGCGGUAAUACGUAGGGGGCGAGCGUUGUCCGGAAUUACUGGGCGUAAAGCGCGCGCAGGUGGCUUGUUAAGUCAGGUGUCAAAAUGCGGAGCUCAACUCCGCAGCGCACUUGAAACUGGCAGGCUUGAGUGCAGGAGAGGAAAGUGGAAUUCCUAGUGUAGCGGUGAAAUGCGUAGAUAUUAGGAGGAACACCAGUGGCGAAGGCGACUUUCUGGACUGCAACUGACACUGAGGCGCGAAAGCUAGGGGAGCAAACAGGAUUAGAUACCCCAGUAGUC
RNAcentral lists this ribosomal RNA (441 nucleotides) under uncultured Anaerobranca sp. RNAcentral's name for it is "bacterial SSU rRNA". It matches the Rfam family "Bacterial small subunit ribosomal RNA", at positions 338 to 795 of the family's 1533-position model. Lineage: Bacteria; Bacillati; Bacillota; Clostridia; Eubacteriales; Proteinivoracaceae. The record is from RNAcentral.